AAGGGCGCAUGGCGGAUGCCUUGGCUCUCGGAGGCGAUGAAGGACGUGAUAAGCUGCGAUAAGCUCUGGGUAGGUGCAAAUAACCUUUGAUCCAGAGAUUUCCGAAUGGGACAACCCGGCAUUCUGAAGGAAUGUCAUCCAUCUUUGAUGGAAGCUAACGCAGGGAACUGAAACAUCUUAGUACCUGUAGGAAAAGAAAAUAAUAAUGAUUCCCCUAGUAGUGGCGAGCGAACGGGGAAUAGCCCAAACCACCCAUGUUACGGCAUGUGUGGGGUUGUAGGACCACGAUGUCGCAAGACAUUUGAUGAGUAGAAUCCUCUGGAAAGUUGAACCAUAGACGGUGAUAGUCCGGUAUACGAAGUCAAAUUAAGCGUAGUGGUAUCCUGAGUAGCGCGGGACACGAGAAAUCUUGCGUGAAUCUGCCGGGACCAUCCGGUAAGGCUAAAUACUCCCGAGAGACCGAUAGCGAACCAGUACUGUGAAGGAAAGGUGAAAAGCACUUCGAAUAGAAGAGUGAAAUAGUCCCUGAAACCGUGCGCCUACAAGCGGUCGGAGCUGCUUAAGCAGUGACGGCGUGCCUUUUGCAUAAUGAACCUACGAGUUACUUUUUCCGGCAAGGUUAAGCAUCUUGAGAUGUGCAGCCGAAGCGAAAGCGAGUCUGAACAGGGCGUCGAGUCGGAAGGAGUAGACGCGAAACCAAGUGAUCUACCCUUGGUCAGGUUGAAGGUUAGGUAACACUAACUGGAGGACCGAACCGAUAAGCGUUGAAAAGCUUCCGGAUGAACUGAGGGUGGGGGUGAAAGGCUAAUCAAACUUGGAGAUAGCUCGUACUCCCCGAAAUGCAUUUAGGUGCAGCCUUGUGAGUUACUAAUGUGAGGUAGAGCGACUGAUAAGAUGCGAGGGCUUCACCGCCUAUCAAGUCUUGAUAAACUCCGAAUGCGCAUUAGUUCUAUCACAGGAGUGAGGGCAUGGGUGCUAAGGUCCAUGUCCUAAAGGAGAAGAAUCCAGACCAUCAGCUAAGGUCCCCAAAUAAACACUAAGUUGAACUAACGAAGUCAGAUUGCUAAGACAGCUAGGAUGUUGGCUUGGAAGCAGCCAUUCAUUUAAAGAGUGCGUAACAGCUCACUAGUCGAGGAGUUUGGCGUGGAUAAUAAUCGGGCAUUAAGUGUUUUACCGAAGCUAUGGGAUCAGUAAUGAUCGGUAGGGGAGCAUUCCACUCUGCGUCGAAGGUGAAGCGUGAGCUUUGCUGGAGCGUGUGGAAAAGCAAAUGUAGGUAUAAGUAACGAUAAAGGGGGUGAGAAACCCCCUCGCCGAAAGACUAAGGUUUCCUGAUCAACGCUAAUCGGAUCAGGGUUAGUCGGGUCCUAAGGCCCAGCCGAACGGUGAGGCCGAUGGCAGAACAGGUUAAUAUUCCUGUACUACCUUAAGGAGUGACGUGGAGACGGAGCAGUGACAGCGCCGCGGACUGACGGAAUAGUCCGUUGAAGGGUGUAGAUGUUGAUCAUCCCAGGCAAAUCCGGGAUGAGAGUCGAACCUGAUAGUAUGGAGCGUUCUUCGGAACAAUCCAAUAGUGCGUGUAAGCAUACUCCCAAGAAAAUCCGCUAAACUUAAUCCUUGAGGUACCCGUACCGCAAACGGACACACGUAGUCGGGUUGAAUAUACUAAGGCGCUUGAGUGAUUCACGGUUAAGGAACUAGGCAAAUUGACCCUGUAACUUCGGGAUAAAGGGUCCCAACGAGAGUUGGGCGCAGAGAAUAGGUCCAGGCAACUGUUUAACAAAAACACAGGGCUGUGCCAAAUUGAAAGAUUACGUAUACAGCCUGACACCUGCCCGGUGCUGGAAGGUUAAGAGGAGAUGUCAUCGCAAGAGAAGCAUUGAAUUGAAGCCCCAGUAAACGGCGGCCGUAACUAUAACGGUCCUAAGGUAGCGAAAUUCCUUGUCGGGUAAGUUCCGACCUGCACGAAUGGUGUAAUGAUCUGGACACUGUCUCAACCGUGAGCUCAGUGAAAUUGUAGUAUCGGUGAAGAUGCCGAUUACCCGCGAUGGGACGAAAAGACCCCGUGAACCUUUACUAUAGCUUAACAUUGAAUUUGGGUAAUUGAUGUGUAGGAUAGGCCGGAGACUUUGAAGCAGGUACGCCAGUAUUUGUGGAGUCGCUGUUGAAAUACGGCCCUUUGAUUAUUUGAGUUCUAACUCGUAGUUGCGAGGACACUGUUUGGUGGGUAGUUUGACUGGGGUGGUCGCCUCCAAAAUAGUAACGGAGGCUUCUAAAGGUGCCCUCAGGACGAUUGGUAACCGUCCGUAGAGUGUAAUGGCAUAAGGGCGCUUGACUGGGAGACUAACAAGUCGAUCAGGUAGGAAACUAGAGCAUAGUGAUCCGGUGUUUCCGUAUGGAAGGGACAUCGCUCAAAGGAUAAAAGGUACUCCGGGGAUAACAGGCUGAUCCCUCCCAAGAGCUCAUAUCGACGGAGGGGUUUGGCACCUCGAUGUCGGCUCGUCACAUCCUGGGGCUGGAGAAGGUCCCAAGGGUUGGGCUGUUCGCCCAUUAAAGUGGCACGCGAGCUGGGUUCAGAACGUCGUGAGACAGUUCGGUCUCUAUCUAUCGUGGGCGUAUGAAAUUUGCGUGGCUCUGACACUAGUACGAGAGGACCG
Molecule: ribosomal RNA, 2654 nt
Filed under: Bacteroides thetaiotaomicron VPI-5482
Lineage: Bacteria; Pseudomonadati; Bacteroidota; Bacteroidia; Bacteroidales; Bacteroidaceae
Description: bacterial LSU rRNA
Rfam family: Bacterial large subunit ribosomal RNA
Source: RNAcentral